UACGUAGGUGGCGAGCGUUAUCCGGAAUGAUUGGGCGUAAAGGGUGCGUAGGCGGCCUGCUAAGUCUGGAGUGAAAGGUACCGGCUCAACCGGUACAGGCUCUGGAAACUGGCGGGCUAGAGAGCAGGAGAGGGCGGUGGAACUCUAUGUGUAGCGGUGAAAUGCGUAGAUAUAUGGAGGAACACCGGUGGCGAAAGCGGCUCUCUGGCCUGUAACUGACACUGAGGCUCGAAAGCGUGGGGAGCAAACAGG
Molecule: ribosomal RNA, 252 nt
Filed under: uncultured bacterium
Lineage: Bacteria
Description: partial 16S ribosomal RNA
Rfam family: Bacterial small subunit ribosomal RNA
Source: RNAcentral